UACGAAGGGGGCUAGCGUUGCUCGGAAUCACUGGGCGUAAAGGGUGCGUAGGCGGGUCUUUAAGUCAGGGGUGAAAUCCUGGAGCUCAACUCCAGAACUGCCUUUGAUACUGAGGAUCUUGAGUUCGGGAGAGGUGAGUGGAACUGCGAGUGUAGAGGUGAAAUUCGUAGAUAUUCGCAAGAACACCAGUGGCGAAGGCGGCUGCCUGGCCCUGACCUGACGCUGAGGCGCGAGAGCGUGGGGAGCAAACCGG
Molecule: ribosomal RNA, 253 nt
Filed under: uncultured bacterium
Lineage: Bacteria
Description: partial 16S ribosomal RNA
Rfam family: Bacterial small subunit ribosomal RNA
Source: RNAcentral